RNAcentral lists this long non-coding RNA (699 nucleotides) under Carassius auratus (goldfish). Its description in RNAcentral is "lncRNA (ENSCARG00000021482.1)". Lineage: Eukaryota; Metazoa; Chordata; Actinopteri; Cypriniformes; Cyprinidae. The record is from RNAcentral.
AUGAUGAGACAGUGCAGGUGGUUAUUGCUAAUGGAGAUGGCUAAGGUGUCAGAAGAGGCCAUCAAAACAAAAGGGAGAAAAGUACCAGGAGCAGCCACCUACAAGAGCUCUUUUAAUAAUGAAUGGACCUCUAAAUGGCCAUUUAUUACUGUAGGAAGCACCAGCUCCUAUUACUGGUGUUCUAUCUGCCGCCAAGAGAACUCCUGUUCCCAUCAAGGUGUGCGGGAUGUGACAAGGCACAUAGAAAGUAAGGGGCAUCAGGUCAAACAGCAGGCACUAAAGUCAACCAGCACAGUCAAAAACUUUUACUUGCCAGUGACUUCAGAAAUGAGUGUGCAAGAGGUCAAGACAAGGAGAGCUGAGGUGAAAGUUGCCGAAGCAAUGGUUCAACACAAUGUUUCAUUUGCUGUGGCAGACCAUUUCAGCCCCUUGUACAGGGAAUGCUUCAAAGACUCUCCCACAACUAAAAAUUUCAAGAGUGCCAGCACAAAAACUAUGUGCAUCAUUAAUCAAGCAGUUGCACCACAUUAUAGAAACGAGCUGGUGUUGAAGAUGAGGGAAAAUCCCUUUACACUGGUCACGGAUGGCUCAAAUGACACAGGACUAGAGAAGAUGAACCCCCUAACUGUAAGGGUAUUUGAUACCACCAAAGUUGUGCACAGAUUCCUCGACAUGUGCACCACAAGUGGAAGAAACUAG